GACGAACGCUGGCGGCGUGCUUAACACAUGCAAGUCGAACGGAAAGGCCCCUUUCGGGGUACUCGAGUGGCGAACGGGUACGUAACACGUGAGUAACCUGCCCUUGACUUCGGGAUAACUUCAGGAAACUGGGGCUAAUACCGGAUAGGAAUACUUGCUGCAUGGUGGGGGUUGGAAAGCUUCGGCGGUUUUGGAUGGACUCGCGGCUUAUCAGCUUGUUGGUGGGGUAGUGGCUUACCAAGGCUUUGACGGGUAGCCGGCCUGAGAGGGCGACCGGCCACAUUGGGACUGCGAGACGGCCCAGACUCCUACGGGAGGCAGCAGUGGGGAAUAUUGCACAAUGGGCGGAAGCCUGAUGCAGCAACGCCGCGUGCGGGAUGACGGCCUUCGGGUUGUAAACCGCUUUCAGCAGGGGCGAAGCUUGUGGUGACGGUACCUGCAGAAGAAGCACCGGCUAACUACGUG
This 465-nucleotide ribosomal RNA is filed under the name uncultured bacterium. Its description in RNAcentral is "partial 16S ribosomal RNA". It matches the Rfam family "Bacterial small subunit ribosomal RNA", at positions 28 to 507 of the family's 1533-position model. The record is from RNAcentral.